GCGACUCUUAGAACCGAGCUGCAUCGAGGCCCCGAGAGGCUGCAGGUUUUCUACCGCCUCGUUUCACUCAGAGAUUCUUCAGAGGAACGAGCUGCUGUCGGCGUUUGGCAGUAAAAACAGGACUGAAAAAAACAAAAUAUGGAUGUGGUUUCUGAGCCGCAGGAUCCACAUUAAAUGUUUGAUUGGAGAGAAGAUAACAUCGAGAAACAAAGGGGGAAUCCCAAAUUGCUUGGAGGAAAGAUGACUGUGCACUUCUUCUGUUCUCCAGUGAACUGGCUGUGAGGAGAUUUGUGACGCAGCUGGAACCAGAAAAGACCCUCCAACAUCUCGAUCCCUGCCGGGGUCAGCGGGGCAACACGGUCGCCAGCAGACGCUCUAAUCAGAGGACAGCAGCGGGGGGACUGAGGGCAGCCAAUGCUCCGCUGCUGGCGGUGUGACAGAGAGGGUUGAGCUGAUGUUCUCUCUCUUUACUACAUGUCAACACGGCCGAGCAGGUUGCCAGGCAACACGUACUCUCGCUGAUGCCAUCCCCAUGCAGGCUCGACAUUAGACGGGUUGAGUCAGGAGAAAAUCUCAGCGGCGUGUCGUCGUCUUUUUUUUUUCUGUGUGCCAGCAGAAGGAGUCACGCUGUGUGUCAAACUCUCGAAUCGUUGCCAAGGAAACUUCAUAUUUUUUUGUCGUCAAUGUCGUGUGACCUUUUAGAAUAAAUAAAUGCCCCUCUGUCAGCAGACUUCACACCUUAUAAUCUCUUACUCCCACAGGCAUAUUUAAUGAGACAUAACGCUGCAUGUUCAUGUCACGUACUCUCUGGGACUGCUGCUCAGUAGAAAAUAGAUCACAUAUAAAUAUUCAGUGCACACCUACUGCCAAAAAAAA
Molecule: long non-coding RNA, 876 nt
Organism: Sebastes umbrosus (honeycomb rockfish)
Lineage: Eukaryota; Metazoa; Chordata; Actinopteri; Perciformes; Sebastidae
Exons: 2
Source: RefSeq, a predicted model, not a curated record